GUAGUCCACGCCGUAAACGGUGGGCACUAGAUGUGGGGCUCUUUCCAUGAGUUCCGCGUCGCAGCUAACGCAUUAAGUGCCCCGCCUGGGGAGUACGGCCGCAAGGCUAAAACUCAAAGGAAUUGACGGGGGCCCGCACAAGCGGCGGAGCAUGCGGAUUAAUUCGAUGCAACGCGAAGAACCUUACCAAGGCUUGACAUAUGCCGUUUAUCCCUAGAGAUAGGGAGUCCUUCGGGGCGGUAUACAGGUGGUGCAUGGUUGUCGUCAGCUCGUGUCGUGAGAUGUUGGGUUAAGUCCCGCAACGAGCGCAACCCUCGUUCUAUGUUGCCAGCGCGUAAUGGCGGGGACUCAUAGGAGACUGCCGGGGUCAACUCGGA
Molecule: ribosomal RNA, 377 nt
Filed under: uncultured bacterium
Lineage: Bacteria
Description: bacterial SSU rRNA
Rfam family: Bacterial small subunit ribosomal RNA
Source: RNAcentral